AGUUGACGUCACGGGGAAGGCAGAG
Molecule: non-coding RNA, 25 nt
Filed under: Mus musculus (house mouse)
Lineage: Eukaryota; Metazoa; Chordata; Mammalia; Rodentia; Muridae
Source: RNAcentral